GUCGAACGAUGAAGCCCAGCUUGCUGGGUGGAUUAGUGGCGAACGGGUGAGUAACACGUGAGUAACCUGCCCUUAACUCUGGGAUAAGCCUGGGAAACUGGGUCUAAUACCGGAUAGGAGCGUCCACCGCAUGGUGGGUGUUGGAAAGAUUUAUCGGUUUUGGAUGGACUCGCGGCCUAUCAGCUUGUUGGUGAGGUAAUGGCUCACCAAGGCGACGACGGGUAGCCGGCCUGAGAGGGUGACCGGCCACACUGGGACUGAAACACGGCCCAGACUCCUACGGGAGGCAGCAGUGGGGAAUAUUGCACAAUGGGCGCAAGCCUGAUGCAGCGACGCCGCGUGAGGGAUGACGGCCUUCGGGUUGUAAACCUCUUUCAGUAGGGAAGAAGCGAAAGUGACGGUACCUGCAGAAGAAGCACCGGCUAACUACGUGCCAGCAGCCGCGGUAAUACGUAGGGUGCGAGCGUUAUCCGGAAUUAUUGGGCGUAAAGAGCUCGUAGGCGGUUUGUCGCGUCUGUCGUGAAAGUCCGGGGCUUAACCCCGGAUCUGCGGUGGGUACGGGCAGACUAGAGUGCAGUAGGGGAGACUGGAAUUCCUGGUGUAGCGGUGGAAUGCGCAGAUAUCAGGAGGAACACCGAUGGCGAAGGCAGGUCUCUGGGCUGUAACUGACGCUGAGGAGCGAAAGCAUGGGGAGCGAACAGGAUUAGAUACCCUGGUAGUCCAUGCCGUAAACGUUGGGCACUAGGUGUGGGGACCAUUCCACGGUUUCCGCGCCGCAGCUAACGCAUUAAGUGCCCCG
Molecule: ribosomal RNA, 799 nt
Filed under: Micrococcus sp.
Lineage: Bacteria; Bacillati; Actinomycetota; Actinomycetes; Micrococcales; Micrococcaceae
Description: bacterial SSU rRNA
Rfam family: Bacterial small subunit ribosomal RNA
Source: RNAcentral